CAGCCGCCGCGGGAAUACGUAGGGUGCAAGCGUUAAUCGGAAUUACUGGGCGUAAAGCGUGCGCAGGCGGUUAUAUAAGACAGAUGUGAAAUCCCCGGGCUCAACCUGGGAACUGCAUUUGUGACUGUAUAGCUAGAGUACGGCAGAGGGGGAUGGAAUUCCGCGUGUAGCAGUGAAAUGCGUAGAUAUGCGGAGGAACACCGAUGGCGAAGGCAAUCCCCUGGGCCUGUACUGACGCUCAUGCACGAAAGCGUGGGGAGCAAACAGGAUUAGAUACCCGCGUAGUCACUGUCUCUUAUAC
RNAcentral lists this ribosomal RNA (301 nucleotides) under uncultured bacterium. RNAcentral describes it as "partial 16S ribosomal RNA". It matches the Rfam family "Bacterial small subunit ribosomal RNA", at positions 509 to 807 of the family's 1533-position model. The record is from RNAcentral.